This 203-nucleotide long non-coding RNA is filed under the name Numida meleagris (helmeted guineafowl). RNAcentral's name for it is "lncRNA (ENSNMEG00000004794.1)". The record is from RNAcentral. Lineage: Eukaryota; Metazoa; Chordata; Aves; Galliformes; Numididae.
AUUUUAUUGAGACUUUUGAGUUCAAAAGGGAUUUUCAAGCUGGAUUACCUAAGUGAUCUUCAGAGUGUUUUGUGGAUGCCAGAGUUCAAAGAAAAUAAUGCAGCUUCCAAGUAGCUACUGAAUGAAGGAUUGUGGCAUUCAGUUUGAUCCAUCAUGCAUUCUCUCCAGAAAUCCCCUUAGGACACCAAACAUGAAAUACAGAA